RNAcentral lists this small RNA (213 nucleotides) under Mycobacterium sp. RNAcentral describes it as "c-di-AMP sequence". It matches the Rfam family "c-di-AMP riboswitch aptamer (ydaO/yuaA leader)". Rfam says of the family: This family represents a conserved RNA structure found upstream of the ydaO and yuaA genes in Bacillus subtilis and related genes in other bacteria. The record is from RNAcentral. Lineage: Bacteria; Bacillati; Actinomycetota; Actinomycetes; Mycobacteriales; Mycobacteriaceae.
UCGCCUAGCACGCCGAGCUCCAUCCAGUAGGCGAGGGAUUCCGACCCGCGGAUGGAGGCGGGGGACCCACCAGGUCCGCCGAGAUCGGACCGGGGCCGUUUUCGGCUCCUUGGGGUGAAGCCGGUGUCGUGGCGACGACGUAGGACGCUGGCCGGGUGACCUCUCCCACCCGAACCCGACAGCUGACCUCGCAGGCGUGUACCGAGAGGAACU